This 2947-nucleotide ribosomal RNA is filed under the name Pedinomonas tuberculata. RNAcentral's name for it is "LSU rRNA". It matches the Rfam family "Bacterial large subunit ribosomal RNA". Lineage: Eukaryota; Viridiplantae; Chlorophyta; Pedinophyceae; Pedinomonadales; Pedinomonadaceae. The record is from RNAcentral.
GUCAAAGGAAAUACAGAUUACGGUGGAUACCUAGGCAUCUAGAGUCGAAGAAGGGCGUCGAAACCAACGAAAAGCUUCGGGGAAGCUGUAAACAAGCAAAGCUGGAAACAAGCUAUGAUCCGGAGAUUCCCGAAUGGGGCAACCCCAAGUACUCACCCUUGAAUUCAUAGAGGGCUGAGAGGAAACCUGGUGAAUUGAAACAUCUUAGUAACCAGAGGAAAAGAAAGCAAACGCGAUUCCCUUAGUAGCGGCGAGCGAAACGGGAACAGCCUAAAUCUUCCCCGCAAGGAGAAGAGGUAGUGGGAGGAACGCCGUAAAAAUUGAAUUCUAGACGAAGCAGCUGAAUCCUGUACCAAAGAUGGUGAAAGUCCCGUAGUCGAAAGAUUUCAAUUUUUUAGUUCUUAUCCCGAGUAGCCUGGGACACGUGAAAUCCCGGGUGAAUCAGCGAGGACCACCUCGUAAGGCUAAAUACUCCUAGAUGACCGAUAGCGAACAAGUACCGCGAGGGAAAGGUGAAAUAGAACCCCUGAAGGGGAGUGAAAUAGAACAUGAAACCGUAAUCUUACAAGCAGUGGGAGGGGGUGACCUUUAGCUACUAAGCCGAAGGACCUCUGACCGCGUGCCUGUUGAAGAAUGAGCCGGCGACUUAUAGGAAGUGGCUUGGUUAAAUACCUCAAAGGUAUGAAGCCGUAGCGAAAGCGAGUCUGAAUAGGGCGUCGUCAUUUUCUAUAGACCCGAACCCGGGUGAUCUAACCAUGACCAGGGUGAAGCUUGGGUAACACCAAGUGGAGGCCCGAACCGACCGAUGUUGAAAAAUCGGCGGAUGAGUUGUGGUUAGGGGUGAAAUACCAAUCGAACUCGGAGCUAGCUGGUUCUCCCCGAAAUGCGUUGAGGCGCAGCGGCGAAUGAUGGGCUGUCUAGGGGUAAAGCUCUGUUUCGAUGCGGGCUGCGAAAGCGGUACCAAAUCGUGGCAAACUAAGAAUACUAGACAUGCUUUCCAUUCGCCAGUGAGACGGUGGGCGAUAAGGUUCAUCGUCAAGAGGGAAACAGCCCAGACCAUCAGCUAAGGCCCCAAAAUGGCCGCUAAGUGGCAAAGGAGGUGAGAAUGCUGAAACAACCAGGAGGUUUGCUUAGAAGCAGCCAUCCUUUAAAGAGUGCGUAAUAGCUCACUGGUAAAGCGUUCUUGCGCCGAAAAUGAUCGGGACUAAGCGGCCUGCCGAAGCUGUGGGAAUUUAAAACUGAAAAAUAAAUUCGGUAGGGGAGCGUUCCGCCACCGGGUGAAGCAUCAACGUAAGUCGAUGUGGACGGGGCGGAAGUGAGAAUGUCGGCUUGAGUAACGAAAACAUUGGUGAGAAUCCAAUGCCCCGAAAGUCUAAGGGUUCCUCCACUAGGUUCGUCCAUGGAGGGUGAGUCAGGACCUAAGACGAGUCUGGCAUGCCAGGGUAGUCGAUGGAAAACAGAUUAAUAUUUCUGUACUCAUAUGUUCGCGAGAAUGAGGGACGGAGCAGGGUAAAAUUAGUUGGUUUAGGAAUCCAACGAAAGCGUACGAGAUGUUGAGAAGGAGAAGAAAAACUCUCUUCGAGUUAAGUCGUGAUACGAUUCGCAAACUUUGCAAGAAGUUUGUGGGUUUAAUUGAUCUCAUACUCCCAAGAAAAGCUCAGAUUUUCGAUCGAAACAUGUGACCUGUACCCCAAACCGACACAGGUGGACUGGUAGAGAAUACUAAGGGGCGCGAGAGAACUCUCUCUAAGGAACUCGGCAAACUGGCCCCGUAACUUCGGGAGAAGGGGUGCCAACCUAUUGGUUGGUUGCAGUGACCAGGCCCAAGCGACUGUUUACCAAAAACACAGGUCUCCGCGAAGUCGUAAGACGAUGCAUGGGGGCUGACGCCUGCCCAGUGCCGGAAGGUGAAGGAAGUCGGUUCGGCGUAAGCCAAAGCUGACGACCGAAGCCCCGGUGAACGGCGGCCGUAACUAUAACGGUCCUAAGGUAGCGAAAUUCCUUGUCAGGUAAGUUCUGACCCGCACGAAAGGCGUAACGAUUUGGGCGCUGUCUCGGAGAGAGGCUCGGUGAAAUAGACAUGUCCGUGAAGAUCCGGACUACUUGCACCUGGACAGAAAGACCCUAUGAAGCUUGACUAUAACUUGGGAUUGGGUUUGGGCCCUCCUUGCGCAGUCUAGGUGGGAGGCGUUGAGGAUUUCCUUUCGGGGAAAUCGGAGCCAUCAGUGAGAGACCACUCUAGGAGGGCUAGGAUCCUAAUGGCGAUCCUUGAAUCAGGACGCUUGACAGUCUCAGGCGGGUAGUUUGACUGGGGCGGUCGCCUCCUAAAAGGUAACGGAGGCGUGCAAAGGUUCCCUCAGGCUGGACGGAAAUCAGCCGUAGAGUGUAAAGGCAGAAGGGAGCUUGACUGCAAGACUUACAAGUCGAGCAGGGGCGAAAGCCGGCCUUAGUGAUCCGACGGUUCCGCGUGGAAGGGCCGUCGCUCAACGGAUAAAAGUUACUCUAGGGAUAACAGGCUGAUCUUCCCCAAGAGUUCACAUCGACGGGAAGGUUUGGCACCUCGAUGUCGGCUCAUCGCAACCUGGGGCGGUAGUACGUCCCAAGGGUUGGGCUGUUCGCCCAUGAAAGCGGUACGUGAGCUGGGUUCAGAACGUCGUGAGACAGUUCGGUCCAUAUCCGGUGAAAGCGCUAGAGCAUUGAGAGGAGUCUUCCCUAGUACGAGAGGACCGGGAAGGACGCACCUAGGGUCUGCCAGUUCUCAUUCCAAUGGGAUACGCUGGGUAGCCAUGUGCGGAGUGGAUAACUGCUGAAAGCAUCUAAGUAGGAAGCCCACCUCAAGAUGAGUGCUCUCCAUUAGGUCACGGCUAGACAAGCCGUUUGAUAGGUGACAGGUGUAAAAGCUGUAAAGCACUAGCUGAGUCAUCCUAAUAGACCGAUUGAAUUUGAC